RNAcentral lists this ribosomal RNA (243 nucleotides) under uncultured bacterium. RNAcentral's name for it is "partial 16S ribosomal RNA". It matches the Rfam family "Bacterial small subunit ribosomal RNA", at positions 535 to 776 of the family's 1533-position model. The record is from RNAcentral.
CAAGCGUUGUCCGGAUUUAUUGGGCGUAAAGAGCUCGUAGGUGGUUCGGUAAGUCGGAUGUGAAAUCUCCAGGCUCAACCUGGAGGGGUCAUUCGAUACUGCCGUGACUAGAGGUCGGUAGGGGAGUGUGGAAUUCCUGGUGGAGCGGUGAAAUGCGCAGAUAUCAGGAGGAACACCCGUAGCGAAGGCGGCACUCUGGGCCGAUACUGACACUGAGGAGCGAAAGCGUGGGGAGCGAACAGG